RNAcentral lists this transfer RNA (87 nucleotides) under Streptomyces parvulus. Its description in RNAcentral is "tRNA-Arg(gcg)". Lineage: Bacteria; Bacillati; Actinomycetota; Actinomycetes; Kitasatosporales; Streptomycetaceae. The record is from RNAcentral.
CGUGGCGGAGCGCCCGGACGUGGGCGGGGGCGCCCCGCCCGGCGCCCCCGCCCGGGGGCGCCCUCCGGUCCGGCCCGGGUGCUCCGU